GUCCAGAGGAUAGCUCAGUCCGUAGAGCAUGAGACUCUUAAUCUCAGGAUUGUAGGUUCAAGCCCCACAAUGGGCA
RNAcentral lists this transfer RNA (76 nucleotides) under Podarcis lilfordi (Lilford's wall lizard). Its description in RNAcentral is "tRNA.Lys". The stretch from base 11 to 68 matches the Rfam family "tRNA", at positions 8 to 63 of the family's 71-position model. From Rfam's summary of the family: Transfer RNA (tRNA) molecules are approximately 80 nucleotides in length. Their secondary structure includes four short double-helical elements and three loops (D, anti-codon, and T loops). Further hydrogen bonds mediate the characteristic L-shaped molecular structure. tRNAs have two regions of fundamental functional importance: the anti-codon, which is responsible for specific mRNA codon recognition, and the 3' end, to which the tRNAs corresponding amino acid is attached (by aminoacyl-tRNA synthetases). tRNAs cope with the degeneracy of the genetic code in two manners: having more than one tRNA (with a specific anti-codon) for a particular amino acid; and 'wobble' base-pairing, i.e. permitting non-standard base-pairing at the 3rd anti-codon position. Lineage: Eukaryota; Metazoa; Chordata; Lepidosauria; Squamata; Lacertidae. The record is from RNAcentral.